UGGACUAUAGAGUAAUUGGCAACUCGCCUCAUUUUGGUUGAGGAAAUUAACUGUUCGAGUCAGUUUAGUUCAG
RNAcentral lists this transfer RNA (73 nucleotides) under Apiotrichum gamsii. RNAcentral describes it as "tRNA-Gln". Lineage: Eukaryota; Fungi; Basidiomycota; Tremellomycetes; Trichosporonales; Trichosporonaceae. The record is from RNAcentral.